UGUAAUCAGCCGAUUGAGCACAGCUGUGCCUAGUUAAAGAGAUCGCCGGGCAAUUGGACAACUGGAGUACAUGAAGGAGUAUUUAAAGCACAGUUAAAUCACAGUUUGGGAGUUCGGGCACGAGAGGGGGAUUGACACGGGGAAAGCUCCUCUGCUUAAUGCAGCAAAAGUAACUACGUACCUUUUGAAGAGCCCGCAGGCUCUGUUGAUCCGGGCUGCGCUUGGAGCGCGCGGAAAGAAGACAGGAGCUGCCUGGGGUGAAAGAAAGGCGAUACGUGGGUGGAGAAAAGGAGCACCCCGAAGAGAGCAUUGUGCUGACAAGUCGUAGUGUGUGCUGAGGAACGGAGCUGUGCUCAUUGUUAGACGUGGUGGCUGUCUGUAUUUCUCUCUCUCUCCCUCUCUCAUUGUAGUUUACGGUGGACCUGCUGGAGUAAACGGAAGAUCCUAUGGGUAAAAAGGAACUUUGGUCUAACCAGUACUUUUGAAGGAGUAAAGCAGGAAGAAAAUUGACCUUGUUGUACCACGUAAACAAAGGCUAUUUGCUGUGAGUAUACCCUUUUGGUGUGGAGUAACGUGCAAAAAUGAACCUGUGAACCGUUGGAAACCUCCAGGAGAAGGAGGGCGGCCCUACCCCUAUAAUAGUGUGGUGGGCGAGCCGUUAGAAGGUAAAUCCAAACAGCCACUUCAACGAGACUUAUUUUGGUCGUAUUUUCCAUCGCCCCUAUCUCAGCCCAAGCGCAGUGGAGGACACCGGGCGCUUCCCUUGUUGUGUUGCACUUAUAGUGUGGUGAGUGAGACUUUGCAAUUAAUAAGCUUUUCACGUUGGAGUGGUGCUGUGUAUUUGCUGUGGGUUGCUGUGUGUCUUGUUAGACGAAGCCCCGCAUCAUCCAUUUCUUCUACUGGGCAGAAGACGGAGAGGCUAACGACCUCAGAAAUUACUGCUACCAUACGCAGUGUGCUGUUUCGGAGUACGAAGGGACGCAGACCAAGAGCUGUCAGUGACUGUGAGUAAAACAUUGGAAAUAUUCGUGGUAUAAACUUACCUGUGUCUGUUUUGUCGCAGAGUCAGAGGCGAAAGGGUCCGCCGCCCCCGCGGUCUCUACAAAGGGGCGCCCCUGUCCAGGAUUCGAUCGGCCUACGGGCAGUGGAGAUAGGGCAGCGCUCGACCCGGUGAGGUGGUGUGUGACCUUCGCCCCUCUGCUGACCUACGGAGGAAACCAUACCUACCCAGAAAGCUGUAAACAGCAGAGCCGGUGAGAAAUACUCGAAGUCUCAGUAACAGUGUCUUUGUGUCUUAGUGGCCACCUGUGGAGAGAGAGAAGAACGAGAGUGAAUAAUUGAAGAACAGACCGUGAACGUGAUACCUACCCAGAAAGCUGUAAACAGCAGAGCCGGUGAGAAAUACUCAAAGUCCAAGUAACAGUGUCUUUGUGUCUUAGUGGCCGCCUGUGGAGAGAAAGGACAACGAGAGUGAACAAUUGGAGAGCAGACUGUGAACGUGAUACCUACCCAGAAAGCUGUAAACAGCAGAGCCGGUGAGAAAUACUCGAAGUCCAAGUAACAGUGUCCUUGUGUCUUAGUGGCCGCCUGUGGAGAGAAAGGACAACGAGAGUGAACAAUUGGAGAGCAGACUGUGAACAUGAUACCUACCCAGAAAGCUGUAAACAGCAGAGCCGGUGAGAAAUACUCAAAGUCCAAGUAACAGUGUCUUUGUGUCUUAGUGGCCGCCUGCGAAGAAGAAGAACGAGAAUGAACAUGAGGAGAGUGGACUGUGUGAAGAUACAGUUGGUGGUGGAGGAGAGCCUAGAGUGGCCAUUAUUUUAAGUUCCCCGUUUUCCCUUCCCUAUAUAUCUUUUUAAGUAAAUUAAAUAAAGUACCUUUUUAAUAUUAUGCUUACCUUGUGUGUCUGGUCAUUGUGGUGGCUUUGGGAAUCUCCUCGAGGUGGAGAAAGGGGCGUGACCUUAGUUACAUCUGGGUCCACCCCUACCUGUGACAGAUUUGGCGUAGUCGGCAGUCCACCUCGGGUUGAGACCAAGGUCCCCCAAUGGCCUACCACAUUUUUUUAAGAUCAGCUCCCAUCACCGCUCUAUCAGUCCCCAAUCAACGCGUUCUCGGGACGAGAACGGAUUGGCGGGGGAGGAUGUCACAAGGUGACGAUCUUUUCGGGGCGGAACCAAAAGUCGGGAAACUUUGGUUCCGCCCGGAUGUUUCCGCCCAGACCGGAGAACGGAAACACCGGACAUCCGGCAGCUUCGCGAAGGCUGUAAUCAGCCGAUUGAGCACAGCUGUGCCUAGUUAAAGAGAUCGCCGGGCAAUUGGACAACUGGAGUACAUGAAGGAGUAUUUAAAGCACAGUUAAAUCACAGUUUGGGAGUUCGGGCACGAGAGGGGGAUUGACACGGGGAAAGCUCCUCUGCUUAAUGCAGCAAAAGUAACUACGUACCUUUUGAAGAGCCCGCAGGCUCUGUUGAUCCGGGCUGCGCUUGGAGCGCGCGGAAAGAAGACAGGAGCUGCCUGGGGUGAAAGAAAGGCGAUACGUGGGUGGAGAAAAGGAGCACCCCGAAGAGAGCAUUGUGCUGACAAGUCGUAGUGUGUGCUGAGGAACGGAGCUGUGCUCAUUGUUAGACGUGGUGGCUGUCUGUAUUUCUCUCUCUCUCCCUCUCUCAUUGUAGUUUACGGUGGACCUGCUGGAGUAAACGGAAGAUCCUAUGGGUAAAAAGGAACUUUGGUCUAACCAGUACUUUUGAAGGAGUAAAGCAGGAAGAAAAUUGACCUUGUUGUACCACGUAAACAAAGGCUAUUUGCUGUGAGUAUACCCUUUUGGUGUGGAGUAACGUGCAAAAAUGAACCUGUGAACCGUUGGAAACCUCCAGGAGAAGGAGGGCGGCCCUACCCCUAUAAUAGUGUGGUGGGCGAGCCGUUAGAAGGUAAAUCCAAACAGCCACUUCAACGAGACUUAUUUUGGUCGUAUUUUCCAUCGCCCCUAUCUCAGCCCAAGCGCAGUGGAGGACACCGGGCGCUUCCCUUGUUGUGUUGCACUUAUAGUGUGGUGAGUGAGACUUUGCAAUUAAUAAGCUUUUCACGUUGGAGUGGUGCUGUGUAUUUGCUGUGGGUUGCUGUGUGUCUUGUUAGACGAAGCCCCGCAUCAUCCAUUUCUUCUACUGGGCAGAAGACGGAGAGGCUAACGACCUCAGAAAUUACUGCUACCAUACGCAGUGUGCUGUUUCGGAGUACGAAGGGACGCAGACCAAGAGCUGUCAGUGACUGUGAGUAAAACAUUGGAAAUAUUCGUGGUAUAAACUUACCUGUGUCUGUUUUGUCGCAGAGUCAGAGGCGAAAGGGUCCGCCGCCCCCGCGGUCUCUACAAAGGGGCGCCCCUGUCCAGGAUUCGAUCGGCCUACGGGCAGUGGAGAUAGGGCAGCGCUCGACCCGGUGAGGUGGUGUGUGACCUUCGCCCCUCUGCUGACCUACGGAGGAAACCAUACCUACCCAGAAAGCUGUAAACAGCAGAGCCGGUGAGAAAUACUCGAAGUCUCAGUAACAGUGUCUUUGUGUCUUAGUGGCCACCUGUGGAGAGAGAGAAGAACGAGAGUGAAUAAUUGAAGAACAGACCGUGAACGUGAUACCUACCCAGAAAGCUGUAAACAGCAGAGCCGGUGAGAAAUACUCAAAGUCCAAGUAACAGUGUCUUUGUGUCUUAGUGGCCGCCUGUGGAGAGAAAGGACAACGAGAGUGAACAAUUGGAGAGCAGACUGUGAACGUGAUACCUACCCAGAAAGCUGUAAACAGCAGAGCCGGUGAGAAAUACUCGAAGUCCAAGUAACAGUGUCCUUGUGUCUUAGUGGCCGCCUGUGGAGAGAAAGGACAACGAGAGUGAACAAUUGGAGAGCAGACUGUGAACAUGAUACCUACCCAGAAAGCUGUAAACAGCAGAGCCGGUGAGAAAUACUCAAAGUCCAAGUAACAGUGUCUUUGUGUCUUAGUGGCCGCCUGCGAAGAAGAAGAACGAGAAUGAACAUGAGGAGAGUGGACUGUGUGAAGAUACAGUUGGUGGUGGAGGAGAGCCUAGAGUGGCCAUUAUUUUAAGUUCCCCGUUUUCCCUUCCCUAUAUAUCUUUUUAAGUAAAUUAAAUAAAGUACCUUUUUAAUAUUAUGCUUACCUUGUGUGUCUGGUCAUUGUGGUGGCUUUGGGAAUCUCCUCGAGGUGGAGAAAGGGGCGUGACCUUAGUUACAUCUGGGUCCACCCCUACCUGUGACAGAUUUGGCGUAGUCGGCAGUCCACCUCGGGUUGAGACCAAGGUCCCCCAAUGGCCUACCACAUUUUUUUAAGAUCAGCUCCCAUCACCGCUCUAUCAGUCCCCAAUCAACGCGUUCUCGGGACGAGAACGGAUUGGCGGGGGAGGAUGUCACAAGGUGACGAUCUUUUCGGGGCGGAACCAAAAGUCGGGAAACUUUGGUUCCGCCCGGAUGUUUCCGCCCAGACCGGAGAACGGAAACACCGGACAUCCGGCAGCUUCGCGAAGGCUGUAAUCAGCCGAUUGAGCACAGCUGUGCCUAGUUAAAGAGAUCGCCGGGCAAUUGGACAACUGGAGUACAUGAAGGAGUAUUUAAAGCACAGUUAAAUCACAGUUUGGGAGUUCGGGCACGAGAGGGGGAUUGACACGGGGAAAGCUCCUCUGCUUAAUGCAGCAAAAGUAACUACGUACCUUUUGAAGAGCCCGCAGGCUCUGUUGAUCCGGGCUGCGCUUGGAGCGCGCGGAAAGAAGACAGGAGCUGCCUGGGGUGAAAGAAAGGCGAUACGUGGGUGGAGAAAAGGAGCACCCCGAAGAGAGCAUUGUGCUGACAAGUCGUAGUGUGUGCUGAGGAACGGAGCUGUGCUCAUUGUUAGACGUGGUGGCUGUCUGUAUUUCUCUCUCUCUCCCUCUCUCAUUGUAGUUUACGGUGGACCUGCUGGAGUAAACGGAAGAUCCUAUGGGUAAAAAGGAACUUUGGUCUAACCAGUACUUUUGAAGGAGUAAAGCAGGAAGAAAAUUGACCUUGUUGUACCACGUAAACAAAGGCUAUUUGCUGUGAGUAUACCCUUUUGGUGUGGAGUAACGUGCAAAAAUGAACCUGUGAACCGUUGGAAACCUCCAGGAGAAGGAGGGCGGCCCUACCCCUAUAAUAGUGUGGUGGGCGAGCCGUUAGAAGGUAAAUCCAAACAGCCACUUCAACGAGACUUAUUUUGGUCGUAUUUUCCAUCGCCCCUAUCUCAGCCCAAGCGCAGUGGAGGACACCGGGCGCUUCCCUUGUUGUGUUGCACUUAUAGUGUGGUGAGUGAGACUUUGCAAUUAAUAAGCUUUUCACGUUGGAGUGGUGCUGUGUAUUUGCUGUGGGUUGCUGUGUGUCUUGUUAGACGAAGCCCCGCAUCAUCCAUUUCUUCUACUGGGCAGAAGACGGAGAGGCUAACGACCUCAGAAAUUACUGCUACCAUACGCAGUGUGCUGUUUCGGAGUACGAAGGGACGCAGACCAAGAGCUGUCAGUGACUGUGAGUAAAACAUUGGAAAUAUUCGUGGUAUAAACUUACCUGUGUCUGUUUUGUCGCAGAGUCAGAGGCGAAAGGGUCCGCCGCCCCCGCGGUCUCUACAAAGGGGCGCCCCUGUCCAGGAUUCGAUCGGCCUACGGGCAGUGGAGAUAGGGCAGCGCUCGACCCGGUGAGGUGGUGUGUGACCUUCGCCCCUCUGCUGACCUACGGAGGAAACCAUACCUACCCAGAAAGCUGUAAACAGCAGAGCCGUGGCCGCCUGUGGAGAGAAAGGACAACGAGAGUGAACAAUUGGAGAGCAGACUGUGAACGUGAUACCUACCCAGAAAGCUGUAAACAGCAGAGCCGGUGAGAAAUACUCGAAGUCCAAGUAACAGUGUCCUUGUGUCUUAGUGGCCGCCUGUGGAGAGAAAGGACAACGAGAGUGAACAAUUGGAGAGCAGACUGUGAACAUGAUACCUACCCAGAAAGCUGUAAACAGCAGAGCCGGUGAGAAAUACUCAAAGUCCAAGUAACAGUGUCUUUGUGUCUUAGUGGCCGCCUGCGAAGAAGAAGAACGAGAAUGAACAUGAGGAGAGUGGACUGUGUGAAGAUACAGUUGGUGGUGGAGGAGAGCCUAGAGUGGCCAUUAUUUUAAGUUCCCCGUUUUCCCUUCCCUAUAUAUCUUUUUAAGUAAAUUAAAUAAAGUACCUUUUUAAUAUUA
Paramisgurnus dabryanus is the source of this 6228-nucleotide non-coding RNA. NCBI's taxonomy places the organism in Eukaryota, Metazoa, Chordata, Actinopteri, Cypriniformes, Cobitidae. The record is from RefSeq and is a predicted model, not a curated record.